GCCUGAGUGGCUUAGUUGGUUAGGUGUCUGACUUCCGCUCAGGUCAUGAUCUCACAGUUUGUGGGUUCGAGCCCCGUGUCAGGCU
RNAcentral lists this transfer RNA (85 nucleotides) under Felis catus (domestic cat). It matches the Rfam family "tRNA". Rfam says of the family: Transfer RNA (tRNA) molecules are approximately 80 nucleotides in length. Their secondary structure includes four short double-helical elements and three loops (D, anti-codon, and T loops). Lineage: Eukaryota; Metazoa; Chordata; Mammalia; Carnivora; Felidae. The record is from Rfam by way of RNAcentral.